This is a long non-coding RNA of Populus trichocarpa (black cottonwood), 835 nucleotides long. RefSeq lists it as uncharacterized. NCBI's taxonomy places the organism in Eukaryota, Viridiplantae, Streptophyta, Magnoliopsida, Malpighiales, Salicaceae. The record is from RefSeq and is a predicted model, not a curated record. The transcript has 3 exons.
AUCACAGACUUUACUUCUCAAAAUCUUACUCCAAAACCCAUUCUCUUCACCAAUCUCCUCUCCUUAGAGCUGUAACCUUAAACUCUCCAUUUUCCUCCUUGGCUAUCGCUUCUCUUAACUCUCAGCCUCCCCUUCUCUUUCCCACAACCCAUUUUCUCAAUGCAAGAACCUGCAGAUUGGACUAUAAAAUGGGAGAAUCAGGCCUUGCCCGUCUACAAACCCAGGUUGUGUUCAACAAAUCCGCAAUCUUCAUCAUUUGCAUUCCCAUGGAGGAUUCCAGAGAAUGUAAUCCAGAAGUUGCAGGAAGCAAUCCUGAAAAUGUAGAAAAAUGCCAAGAUUCAAGUCAUUGAAGAUACCCCAAAUGGCAAUCAACACCAUAUAUGUGCAACCAUAGUAAUUAUGUAACAAAAUUUGAAAGACUUUGAACACCAUGAACGAUUGCUUUACACUAGGAGAAAGAAGAGGAUACGAGACAUACAAAAACAAGUUUAGGCCUUUAAUAUACUUCAUUAUGAAAAUUAGAUGUGAAUGUGAAUGUGAAUGUGAGAAUAGGUACAUUGAUUGAUGCUCAUUUUAAUUUAUACAAGUAAUUUCUUUGGUCUUUCAAGCCAAUAUUUACAAGCUGAGGUUGAUUGAGGGUUUGACCGCGAUGUGCUUUAGUUUUUGGUAGAAGGAGAUGUAGUUGCUAAUAGAUCUAUGGCUACAAAAGUAACCUAUGUAUACCCUUUCACAACAGCCUUGGGGGAUUCAGAAGGACAGGAAGAAAGAGUGUAGAAAAUCUUGGACGAAUUAGGCUGGUAUGUUCGAAGUUUUUAUUCCAUGGAUUAGAUUUAUA